Molecule: ribosomal RNA, 778 nt
Filed under: uncultured Neocallimastigales
Lineage: Eukaryota; Fungi; Neocallimastigomycota; Neocallimastigomycetes; Neocallimastigales
Description: partial large subunit ribosomal RNA
Rfam family: Eukaryotic large subunit ribosomal RNA
Source: RNAcentral
GAGACUCUGUGCGCGUGCAUAUCAAUAAGCGGAGGAAAAGAAACUAACAAGGAUUCCCCUAGUAACGGCGAGUGAAGCGGGAAGAGCUCAAAUUUGAAAUCUUAAAGGGUUUCCCUUUACGAAUUGUAGUUUAAAGAAGUGUUUUCUGUUGGAGUUUCGGUAAAAGUUCUUUGGAAUAGGACAUCAUAGAGGGUGAGAAUCCCGUAUUUGACCGUUACUUUCCAGCUGUGUGAUACACUUUCAAAGAGUCGGAUUGUUUGGGAAUGCAGUCCAAAAUGGGUGGUAAAUUUCAUCUAAAGCUAAAUAUUGGCGAGAGACCGAUAGCGAACAAGUACCGUGAGGGAAAGAUGAAAAGAACUUUGAAAAGAGAGUUAAACAGUACGUGAAAUUGUCAAAAGGGAAGCGUUUGACACCAGUGUUGUUUAGUUGAAAAUCAAUUCAAUAAUUUUUGAUUUUAAGUAGUAUUGACUUCAUCAGCUUGCUGCUUUCUUUUCAGGAAUUAGUUGAAUGCACUUUUCAGUUAACAAGUCAACAUCAAUUUCUUUUGUUGUGAAAGGGUAAGAGGAAGGUGGCUUACGCUUCGGCGUAAGUGUUUAUAGCCUUUUACCUCUGCAAUCGGAGAGAUUGAGGACAGCAGCGUAGACUCCUUCGGGGGUUAGAUACACUUGUGCUAAGCUAUAGCCUUGUAUAGACAACUUGUUGACUAUGCUCAGUCAUGUAGCUUACUCGCUUGUGCUAUUUUACCUACGCUUAGGAUGUUGACAGCAGUAUAGACUGU